UACGGAGGGGGCUAGCGUUGCUCGGAAUCACUGGGCGUAAAGGGUGCGUAGGCGGGUCUUUAAGUCAGGGGUGAAAUCCUGGAGCUCAACUCCAGAACUGCCUUUGAUACUGAAGAUCUUGAGUUCGGGAGAGGUGAGUGGAACUGCGAGUGUAGAGGUGAAAUUCGGAGAUAUUCGCAAGAACACCAGUGGCGAAGGCGGCUCACUGGCCCGAUACUGACGCUGAGGCACGAAAGCGUGGGGAGCAAACAGG
Molecule: ribosomal RNA, 253 nt
Filed under: uncultured bacterium
Lineage: Bacteria
Description: partial 16S ribosomal RNA
Rfam family: Bacterial small subunit ribosomal RNA
Source: RNAcentral